UUACUGUAUUGUACUGUGAAUGCCGAAAUGAUAUUUUUUGCAUGCGUGUACAUCCUUAUGUGUAAAAUGACAAUGCUGAACAUUUGGGAAUUGAGGUUUGAAUGAAGGACUUCUGUUGCAUGUCAU
Molecule: long non-coding RNA, 126 nt
Organism: Sander lucioperca (pikeperch)
Lineage: Eukaryota; Metazoa; Chordata; Actinopteri; Perciformes; Percidae
Exons: 3
Source: RefSeq, a predicted model, not a curated record